UGCUGUUUUGACCUUUAACCUUACUGCUAUUCGAUACUUUACUAGCCUAGAAUUUCGCUGUAAAGUAGAGGAUCCUGAAGGAAAUACCAUUUAUUCUGAAGUUGUUUACCGCACUUUUAUUGAUUCAUUCGGCGACAGUAUCACUGGAUAUCGGUUAUCUUCAAUUGGUAUUCCCAGUGAAGGUUUACUGCAGGUCAAUAUCCCUGGGUUUUGUUACUGGGGCCAAGUGCGGUACUUUUCUUUUUAUAAUUGGCGUGAUCCACUCGAUGAUAUGAUAUGUCAACAAUUUGGAUAUACGAAUGACUCCGUUAUCCAACCAAAGUCUAACUCUCCAUAUCCCGAUGCGUGUAUGUAUAUCAGGGGUUGUUCAACUAGCAAUAUGACAACGAUCGGCGACAUAGCAAAGCAAUGUGAUGUUGUCUACGGACCA
This is a long non-coding RNA of Dreissena polymorpha, 430 nucleotides long. RefSeq lists it as uncharacterized. The record is from RefSeq and is a predicted model, not a curated record. NCBI's taxonomy places the organism in Eukaryota, Metazoa, Mollusca, Bivalvia, Myida, Dreissenidae. The transcript is spliced from 3 exons.